UUGAAGGCCAAAACAUCUGGAGGCCCACAGGUUGAGAACCAUUGCUCUUUAGGAAUCUCUAUGUUCUUCUGGUUGACUCUAUGGUACCUUCUGGCAAAAACGUAUUAUAGUAUUGCCUGGAGAACCUAGCAAACUCCUAAAGUGAUAAUUUCUUCUAGACUUGAGCAAGUGAAACCGUGACUAUGAGUUCUGUAGUUACAGGAAGCUAAUUGUAUUACAAACUAUUUUUAUUUGUUGAGUCUCCUUUGAAAAUUUCUAUCCUGUGCUGCUGGGACUUUCAAGUGAGUAAAGUUGACUGUAUAGUUAUAAUGAGUAAUCUAGAAACAAGUUACCUGGACUAUGCACGCAGCAUGCCUGAUCUGGUAUAGCAGUUCCAAGGUUCAUGGUUCCAGCAUGUCUUUCUGACUCAACUGAACAGUCUCUGAUCAGAGAUGGGGGAAUGUGUUGUACAAUAUUCAUUAAUGGAAAAGGGGGGAGUGGAGGAAUAAGGCUUGCAGCAAAUGUAAUGUAACUAAUCAGCUUUGGUGAGUAGAUUAAAGCAUGACAGAAGGGUUGCCAUAUAGUGUAAUGUAAUUGAAAACAAAUGUCUUGCUUCUGUCCAAGAAUGUAUAAAGAUUAGGGAGUAAAUCCAGCAAACAAUAUUUAAAUCAAUUCUAUUGCAAGAGAAAGUCAUAUUACCUUGUACUUAGCAACAUCAAUAGGGAUAUCACAAAUUUACUAGAACACAUUUAGUUUGUCUCCAGUGCCCAAAUAUUAGCCAUUACGGCUGUAUUGUAGUAUUUCCUUACUUCUGGAGGCUGACUGCCCAGCCAUGCUUGUAAGAAGAUUACCAAGGCUUAUUCAAUUUCAAAAUUCAGUUCUACUAAAUAUAACUUUUUGAUUACAAACUUCUUCCAUGGAGAAGCUCUUCUCCAUUUUGUUUUCACAACAACAUACCUGUGUGAGGUAUGUUGGACUAAAAGGUAGUAACAGGCUGAGCAUCAGUGACUUGAACCCAGAUCUCUUCAGUUCUAUAGCGACCAGAGUAUCAUGCUAUCUGUUGUACUCCAGGGCCUCUGCACUUAACCACCACACUUCAGUUCAAGUUAAAACAACAAAGCAAUUUAUUGAAGAUUAUAUAAAAAGCAGUUCAGCAAAAAUAGUAAAAAUGUCAAAGUCUAAAUGUAAAAAAAGUCCAUAAGAUUCAAGGUACAAGAGUUGUUUCAAAAUCAUAACACAAGACAUCCACCAUAGGAUGCAAAAAAGGCAGCAUAAAAAUCCAAUACAGAAAUCCAGGAAUAAUCACUUAAACUUGAAAGCAUGAAACAUGAAAUUAGAAAUCCCUUAGCAGGCUAGCUAAGAUUUGACCAUUGGUGUUGCUUCUCAAACUCCAACAUUGACCAGACUUGAAAAAUCCCUCUGGUGUCUCUAAUCUAGACAUGAAAUCAUGCUGUCUACCCUGAGAAGUUGAUAACGGCUUUUUUUACUAACAAGCGCUGUGACUUUCACAAACUCUGCUGGGUAACUCUGCAUUCGUAAAAACUAAAUCUCCUAUCUAUCAGCUCAUUAGUCUGGGCAUCUGGAACUUCAACCCCUGAGCUCAUCUCAGCCUCUGAUCUUGCUUCCCUAGUGAAAGGCUUCUCAGCAACAUCUGGGCCACUUUCUGGAAUGUGGCCUUCACUAGCUACUGGAGGCAGAGACGGCUCAGUUUCAGGACUUAAAAUCUCCUGCUGGCUCAUAGGCCCAGAAAUCCCAGUGACUUCCUCAGUGACAUCAGGUGCAGGCACAAUCAAGAGAUGAACUACAACACUUUCUGUAUUGAGUGUCGAGCAGAUCAGAAUUCAAAAAUGUGCUCAUGACCCACUUAGAGCCUUUCUUGUGCUACCUAAAUCAGGACCCCCUAAUCUUUUUGCAUCAAUAGAAAUCUUGGGAUUUCAAGAAGAUAUUAAACAAUGAUUUCACCCAAAUUCCCAAAUCACAUCUAAAGUUAACUUAUUGCUGGACUGCAUGGCUCUUGUGGUCUCUUCCAACUCUAUGAUUCUGUUUACUCUAUCAAAUGUAUGUUCCUCUCCUUGUUUCAUCACCAUCACAUAUAACUCUUCUCAUCUGGAUCACGGUGGUGUUCUUUACCUUGCUCCCCUUGCCCUCUCUUACCUAUAGGAACCUCUGUCUAUGCACAAUUAUGCAGUUAAUCUUCACUCAUCCACUAUAGCAGUGGUUCUCAUCCUGGAGUCCCCAGAUGUUUUUGGCCUAUGACUCCCAGAAAUCCCAGCCAAUUUACCAGCUGUUAGGAUUUCUGGGAGUUGAAGGCCAAAAACAUCUGGGGACUCCAAGUUGAGAACCACUGCACUAUAAAAACACACAGAUACCCUAUUCAUCUUCCCCACAUGCCUCAAUGAAGGAAACCAAAUGUAUUUAUUUUUAAUAAUUGAAAAAUUGGGAAGAGAAGGUACCAUGGUACCUAUAAAUAGGCUUUUGGUGUCAAGUGCCACUGCCACUAUGUCAUGCUGGCACAGAAAAAUGCCUCCAUUACACAGUCUUUGUCUUGUGCAAAACUGUGAAAUGAUUGUUUUUACACUAUGCAUUUAAAAUUUUCAUUCCAUUAAUACUAUGUUUUAAUAUUUCACUUGAAGGUUGGGUUGCUGACCUGAAAGCUGCCAGGUUCGAAUCCCACCCGGGGAGAGUGCGGAUGAGCUCCCUCUAUCAGCUCCAGCUCCAUGUGGGGACAUGAGAGAAGCCUCCCACAAGGAUGGUAAAAACAUCAAAACAUCCGGGCGCCCCCUGGGCAACGUCCUUGCAGACGGCCAAUUCUCUCACUCCAGAAGCGACUCAAGUUGCUCCUGACACGAAAAAAAUAAUAUUAUGAAUCAUAGAGCUCUUGCUUGAUAUUGGAAAUUCAGUUAUAGAGCAGAUGUAUGUCCAUUUGAGAAUCUUCAUUGAGAGAAAGCAUAAAGUAUCACAUAAUUAGCAGCUUUUUCUAAAGCUGCAGUACAUGGAAUCACAGUUACCAGCUGACACACCCUUUCAUGCCUCACAGGUGUGGGAAAAUCUCUUGCUCUCGCUUUCUUUGACAAGCCUUCAAUCAUGUUUAGACUCUCUAAUGAUACAUAUGAGGACCUUUAGAUUCUUUAUUUUCACUUUACAAUCCUACAAAUACUGCUGUUUUAUCAACAGCAACUGCUGUAGUUUGUUUUUACCCGGGGUACUGUGAAUUUAUGAUGUUGUGUUUGACUUUAUUGUCUAUGUUUUU
This is a long non-coding RNA of Anolis carolinensis (green anole), 3229 nucleotides long. RefSeq lists it as uncharacterized. NCBI's taxonomy places the organism in Eukaryota, Metazoa, Chordata, Lepidosauria, Squamata, Anolidae. The record is from RefSeq and is a predicted model, not a curated record. The transcript is spliced from 3 exons.